GAGAGCUGCAAGUUUAAAGAGGGAAUUACCCAGGGGGAGGGACGGUCAAGCAGUGCCCAAGCAGAGGCACAAACCCAACACGGAGCUAACAGCAGAGAGAGAAGCCCAGGACGCGGCUCCCCCACGGAGCACAGAGGCAGGCGGUAGGCUCCCUGAAGUGGCAUUACGACCCGAGCUUCAAACCUGGCACCAUGUGGGGAGACAGCAGACCCCCACUGAAAAUGGCACCUUAAUUAGCCUCAGGAAGAGUUUGUUUUAUUUUGGCCACAGGCCCGUUCAUCUUACUUUGCAGCUGUAACACCCACUGAGGCCAAACUAAAGUAGUGCAGGAGCUCGCCCUCUUCACAGCUGGGGGAAGACGGAAGUUCUUGGCAGGAGUGUGGAAGCUUGGAGAAAGCGAGGCCCUUGUCCUCAUUCAGGGAGCUGCUACCUCAGUAGGUGCACUGCGUGCCCGGUCACGAGACAGGGGAGGACAGAAGGAGCGCAGGCCCUCCUGGCCCAACCUGGAGUUGAGUGCGUGAGGAGACCGCUUUCCUCUCCAACCGCCUCCAGCUGUAUCCCACCUUCUUUUACAAGUUCCUGUGGUCAGGUUACCAAGCCAGGGCAUUCCUGAAGUGAAAAUACACUGACAGCGUGUUUGGAAUCUAUAAAUAACAUUUUAACAAUUACGCACAGAGUCAAAUUUAACACUAAGACUAUGGGAAACUUCUCCCCAAAACUGAAUGAAAAUGAAGAGGUCACGUGACCCUCAAAUAGAGUGAAAUUAUGGAUGAAGAAAGGAAGAUUGAAAACAAAACGUUCUUGUGUUCCAGACAAUAGUUUAUAAAAUUCUGGGGCCAAGAGUGGUGGUGGUAGUUUAGUCACUAAGUCAUGUCUGACUCUUGUGACCCCAUGGACUGUAGCCUGCCAGGCUCCUCUGUCCAUGGGAUUCUCCAUGGAGUGGGUUGACAUUUCCUUCUCCAUGGGAUCUUUCCCACCCAGGAAUUGAACCUGGGUCUCCUGCAU
This is a long non-coding RNA of Bos taurus (domestic cattle), 1005 nucleotides long. Lineage: Eukaryota; Metazoa; Chordata; Mammalia; Artiodactyla; Bovidae. The record is from Ensembl.